UUUAAAAAAAAUCAAAAAAGUAAAAAAAAAUCAAAAAAUUCAAAAAAAAAUAUGUAUCCUGUGUAACCACUGUGAAAAGUUGUUAUACGACAUGCAUAAAUUGUCUAAUGGAACUUACACUUGGAGAACCUGCAGCAUUGUAAUGUUGUUACUAGAAGUGAUACUGUUUUCUUAAAAGAACCUUAGAUACUAAUUAUAUGUUCAAAUCUUAAAUAUAGUAAUAUACUGUAACCACUUUGUGCAUAAACAGACAACAGUACAAUUUGGAGAUGAAAUGGUAAUAGAAUACUAAAUAUUGUCAAUGAAAUUUGUGUUAGAAAUAUGACCAUUGGUUAACACUGUACAGAUUAUUUAUUCCAAUCAUGGUGUCAUUCUGUUGUUACAAGACAACAGUACAUGUUGUUACUAGAAGUUCAUAUUCCCUCUUUCAAGACAAGUAAUGACAGACCCCGUAACCAUUGAAAACGGGCAAACAUUCGAACGUGCAGCCAUUCAAAACUGGUUCAACGAGUGUAAAGAAAGCAACAGGAAACUGGUUUGCCCUGUGACAUUAAAAGAACUAAAAACAACUAAUAUGAAGACCAAAUAAACAGUCAACUGCAAGUACCCAAAUAAACAGUCAAAUAAACAAGCUGCAAGUAGCCAAAUAAACAGUCAACUAGACAUCAACUUUACCCAAAAAAAAAAAAAAAAAACUAGAGACAAAACCUAAAUUGAUCAUCAAAAACCCAAAAAAGCAGCAAAAAUUUCUAAAUUUGACUCGCCCCCUUCAAGAUUUGAAUACUAAAACCCUAAAUUCUUAAUCAAAACAUUGAAUUUCAUCAAACCCAUAAAACAAUUUCAACAACUUACUCAAAGCAAUAUAGUAAAGCAACAAGAUACCAUGAUCAGUAAAGAUUUUGUGAAGCAAGAAGCUAACUGAGAAUAAAUCAAUAAAACUGCAAUAAAAAAGGUCAAACCUUUGAAAAGUGAUUGGAUGAUCACAACAGUGAGUGGAAGCAGCUACGAAGGUAGACAGAAAAGAAAAAGGAGGGGUGCGAGCUACGAAGGUAGACGAAGAUUUGAUUAGUGGUGAAAACAGGAUCUGAUGAUGAGGUUUAACACCGUUCCCAUUGAAGUCUGAUGCGUGUUUUAGGUGCAGAGAGUAAAAACCCAUCUUGACCCAUGUUAAAAGUUAAAUGGGUAUUUUAAAACCCAUUCUAACCCAUCUUGACUAAAUUCUCAGCCCAUUCUAACUUAUUUUCUUUUUUAAAAAGGCCCAAAAUAACCCAAAAUAUCAUGGUUGGGUUUUUGUUGCCACCUCUAGUUUCGAUGUUGGGUGGCUUUUGGGUCACGAGUUAGGCUGGUCAACCGUACAGAUCUGGUCAAACUUCGGGUCAGGUCGACUCUCGGUCAACAAAAGUCAACGAUGGUCAAAGUCUUAGUCAGGUGGUCGUAUUUGAGUGGCACGUUUAUCGAGGAAACCUUUUUCGUGUCGGUCUUGAGCGGUUAAUUCGAGUAGGGAUGUCUUGGUGAUUAUUUGCAUGUUAUGCCGGUUCGUAUCGUUGACACAAUACUUUUGGAUAUAACACGCACCCUAGGUCGAUAGGUACUUUGUUGGGAACUUGUUGUCUGGAGUAGCUGGAGUGGUCACGGGUCGACUUGAGGGAUUUAUGUGUUCAAACUAUUGAUACUAUACAUUAGUUUUGAAACAGUUUAACUCGGGUUUACUAUUUGCUUCCGCUGAACAUGUUGGUUUUCAUUUAAACUUGUG
Molecule: long non-coding RNA, 1753 nt
Organism: Helianthus annuus (common sunflower)
Lineage: Eukaryota; Viridiplantae; Streptophyta; Magnoliopsida; Asterales; Asteraceae
Exons: 3
Source: RefSeq, a predicted model, not a curated record